AACGAACGCUGGCGGCGUGGAUUAGGCAUGCAAGUCGAACGCGAAAGAGGGAGCAAUCCCUCAAGUAGAGUGGCGAACGGGUGAGUAACGCGUGAAGAACCUGCCUUCAACAGGGGGAUAACACUCCCAACGGGGUGCUAAUACCGCAUGAGACCACGGGUCCGCAUGGACCUGAGGUCAAAGGUGGCCUCUGCUUGCAAGCUACCGGUUGAAGAUGGCUUCGCGUCCCAUAGCUAGUUGGCGGUGUAAAAGACCACCAAGGCGACGAUGGGUAGCUGGUCUGAGAGGAUGGUCAGCCACACUGGGACUGAGAUACGGCCCAGACUCCUACGGGAGGCAGCAGUCGAGAGGCUUUGGCAAUGGGGAAACCCUGACCAAGCGACGCCGCGUGGAGGAUGAAGGCCCUUGGGUUGUAAACUCC
RNAcentral lists this ribosomal RNA (421 nucleotides) under uncultured bacterium. RNAcentral's name for it is "bacterial SSU rRNA". It matches the Rfam family "Bacterial small subunit ribosomal RNA", at positions 29 to 433 of the family's 1533-position model. The record is from RNAcentral.